Molecule: ribosomal RNA, 257 nt
Filed under: uncultured Pseudomonas sp.
Lineage: Bacteria; Pseudomonadati; Pseudomonadota; Gammaproteobacteria; Pseudomonadales; Pseudomonadaceae
Description: partial 16S ribosomal RNA
Rfam family: Bacterial small subunit ribosomal RNA
Source: RNAcentral
ACGUUAUGGUGGGCACUCUAAGGAGACUGCCGGUGACGACCGAGGAAGUGGGGAUGACGUCAAGUCAUCAUGGCCCUUACGGCCUGGGCUACACACGUGCUACAAUGGUCGGUACAAAGGGUUGCCAAGCCGCGAGGUGGAGCUAAUCCCAUAAAACCGAUCGUAGUCCGGAUCGCAGUCUGCAACUCGACUGCGUGAAGUCGGAAUCGCUAGUAAUCGUGAAUCAGAAUGUCACGGUGAAUACGUUCCCGGGCCUU